This 586-nucleotide ribosomal RNA is filed under the name uncultured bacterium. RNAcentral describes it as "bacterial SSU rRNA". It matches the Rfam family "Bacterial small subunit ribosomal RNA", at positions 38 to 637 of the family's 1533-position model. The record is from RNAcentral.
GGCGGCGUGGAUUACGCAUGCAAGUCGAGCGCGAACCGUAGCAUUACUGGGAGAGCGGCGAANGGGAGAGGAAUACGUGGAUACCUACCCUCAGGUUCAGGAUAGCUAUGAGAAACUAUAGGUAAUACUGAAUAAUACCUCCGGAUCAAAGGUGUGAUUCCACCUGAGGAGGGGUCCGCGUCCUAUUAACUAGUUGGCGAGGUAACGGCUCACCAAGGCGAAGAUGGGUACGGGAUGUGAGAGCAUGAUCCCGCUCACUGGGACUGAGACACUGCCCAGACACCUACGGGUGGCUGCAGUCGAGAAUCUUCGGCAAUGGGGGAAACCCUGACCGAGCGACGCCGCGUGCGAGAUGAAGGCCUUCGGGUUGUAAAUCGCUGUCAGUGGGGAGGAAAUGCCGGUGGGUUCUCCCAUCGGUUUGACCUAUCCGCAGAGGAAGGACGGGCUAANUUCGUGCCAGCAGCCGCGGUAAGACNAACCGUCCAAACGUUAUUCNGAAUCACUGGGCUUAAAGGGUGCGUAGGCGGUCCGGUAAGUUGGGUGUGAAANCCCUCGGCUCANCCGAGGAAUUGCGUCCAAAACUGUC